GAUGAACGCUAGCGACAGGCUUAACACAUGCAAGUCGAGGGGCAGCAUGAGGUAGCAAUACCUUGAUGGCGACCGGCGCACGGGUGAGUAACGCGUAUGCAACCUGCCCGAUACCGGGGUAUAGCCCAUGGAAACGUGGAUUAACACCCCUUAGUACUUUUAUCCUGCAUGGGAUGUGAGUUAAAUGUUCAAGGUAUCGGAUGGGCAUGCGUCCUAUUAGUUAGUUGGCGGGGUAACAGCCCACCAAGACGAUGAUAGGUAGGGGUUCUGAGAGGAAGGUCCCCCAAAUUGGAACUGAGACACGGUCCAAACUCCUACGGGAGGCAGCAGUGAGGAAUAUUGGUCAAUGGACGUAAGUCUGAACCAGCCAAGUCGCGUGAGGGAAGACUGCCCUAUGGGUUGUAAACCUCUUUUAUAAGGGAAGAAUAAGUUCUACGUGUAGAAUGAUGCCUGUACCUUAUGAAUAAGCAUCGGCUAACUCCGUGCCAGCCGCCGCCGUAA
Molecule: ribosomal RNA, 501 nt
Filed under: uncultured bacterium
Lineage: Bacteria
Description: partial 16S ribosomal RNA
Rfam family: Bacterial small subunit ribosomal RNA
Source: RNAcentral